AGUUCUGACAAAACUGGCUGGAGUUUCUAAUCUGUUUGUCAGCUAAUAAAGGAAGGUAUCCUGGAAGAACUUUAGACAUAAGGACAUGUGUGGAGCGUACAGUCCCUGGAGGGUUGCAGUUGGCUCUCUCCAGACCAAUGUUUACUGUCAAUCCCUAAUUAUCCUGGAGAAGGUGGUGGUUAGAAACAUGGACUAUUGAAUGUUGCCAAAAACAAGCCUCAUAUAUCAACAAACACAUGAUCAGCUGAAUGGUCCCACCUUCCAUACACGUUAGAAGGGAGAGUCUUUCAGUACCUCAGCAGCCACCUCUCUCACAAAACCAACGUGUCUGAGUAGCUCCUGUUCUCUCAUCUCUUCAGGACAAAGGCACACUGAAGUUUUCCUUCGAAUAUCGGUGACCAGGAGGAGUUUGCUACCAAUUGUUCAAAAUGGAAACAACUUGUCUAAGAAAUAUCACCGUGUCUAGAGUUGCAGCAUCACCAUGAUGGAAACAUAGAAAAUAGGAGCAGGCCAUUCAGCCCUUCAAGACUGCUCCACCAUUCAAUAUGAUCACAGCUGAUCAUCCCACUCAGUCCUCUGUUCCCACUUUUUCCCCAAACCCUUUGAUUCCUUUAAGAACUUAAGUUGCAUCUUCCAUGAAAGUCUUCAAUGUUUUGGCCUGAACAGUUUCCUGUGUCAGAGCAGUCCACAGGCUCCCCACUCUCUGGGUGAAGACAUUUCUCCUGAUCUCAGUCUGAAAAGUUCAACCCUUAGAGUCUGCCCCCUGGUUCUGGAAUGCUCAGUCACAAGAACAUUUUUCCUGUAUAUAUUCUGUUUAAUCCUGUUCCAAUUUUACAGCUUUCUAUGAGAUCCCCCCUCAUUCUUCUAAACUCCAGUAAAUAUUAUCCAAUCCAAUUCAGUCUCUCUCCAUAUGUCAGUCCUGCCAUCCCAGGAAUCAGUCUAGUAAACCUUUGCUGCACUCCCUCCAUCACCAGAACACCUUUCCUCACAUGAGGAGAUC
Molecule: long non-coding RNA, 1000 nt
Organism: Rhincodon typus (whale shark)
Lineage: Eukaryota; Metazoa; Chordata; Chondrichthyes; Orectolobiformes; Rhincodontidae
Exons: 3
Source: RefSeq, a predicted model, not a curated record